GGGCUGCCAUUUUGGCAGUUCCGGCAGGUGAGGAAAGUCCGGGCUUCAUAGGGCAGGAUGCCGGAUAACGUCCGGUGGAGGCGACUCCAAGGCUAGUGCAACAGAAAUAUACCGCCAGCUUUAUAUGGGCUGGUAAGGGUGGAAAGGCAGCUUAAGAGACUACCGUCCGCCUGGUAACAGGCGGAGCCAUGUAAACCCCAUCCGAAGCAAGACCAAACAGAGAGCGAUAGACUUGCCCGGUCUGCUUUCAGGUAGGUCGCUUGAUGCGGCUGGCAACAGCCGUACUAGAUAGAUGACCGUUCAACGACAUAACCCGGCUUAUCGUUUUGCUU
RNAcentral lists this RNase P RNA (332 nucleotides) under uncultured Acetatifactor sp. Its description in RNAcentral is "Bacterial RNase P class A". It matches the Rfam family "Bacterial RNase P class A". From Rfam's summary of the family: Ribonuclease P (RNase P) is a ubiquitous endoribonuclease, found in archaea, bacteria and eukarya as well as chloroplasts and mitochondria. Its best characterised activity is the generation of mature 5'-ends of tRNAs by cleaving the 5'-leader elements of precursor-tRNAs. Lineage: Bacteria; Bacillati; Bacillota; Clostridia; Lachnospirales; Lachnospiraceae. The record is from RNAcentral.